RNAcentral lists this ribosomal RNA (545 nucleotides) under uncultured eukaryote. RNAcentral's name for it is "SSU rRNA". It matches the Rfam family "Eukaryotic small subunit ribosomal RNA", at positions 506 to 1056 of the family's 1831-position model. The record is from RNAcentral.
UAAUUGGAAUGAGUACAUUUAAACCNCUUAACGAGGACAACUUGAGGGCAAGUCUGGUGCCAGCAGCCGCGGUAAUUCCAGCUCCAAUAGCGUAUAUUAAAGUGUUGCNGUUUAAAAAGCUCGUAGUUGAAACUUGGGUCUGGCUGGCAGGUCCGCCUCACCGCGUGUACUUGUCCGGCCGGGCCUUCCUUCUGGAGAACCUCAUGCCCUUCACUGGGCGUGUUGGGGACCAGGACUUUUAACUUUGAAAAAAUUAGAAGUGUUCAAAGCUAGGCCUUUGCUCGAAUACGUUAGCAUGGAAUAAUAGAAUAGGACGUGCGGUCCUAUUUUGUUGGUUUCUAGGACCGCCGUAAUGAUUAAUAGGGACAGUCGGGGGCAUCAGUAUUCAAUUGUCAGAGGUGAAAUUCUUGGAUUUAUUGAAGACUAACUACUGCGAAAGCAUUUGCCAAGGAUGUUUUCAUUAAUCAGUGAACGAAAGUUAGGGGAUCGAAGACGAUCAGAUACCGUCGUAGUUUUAACCGUAAACUAUGCCGUCGACGCGGCCG